UCUAGAAAUUGGAGCCCGGGUUUGCAGUCUUGGCCAGAACGCUAGAGGUUGCCCACAUCAGACAAGCGCCUUCAUUUCUCAGAGACCUCCUUUGCUCACAUAACACGAUAGGGUUGGGCCACGUGAUGUCUCUCGCCCUGUCCUGCUCUGAAAUCACUUGAGGCCUCCAACUUCUGUCUAGGAUUUCCUUUCUGCCUUGGAGCAGCAGCAGUCUCUUCGGUGGAACUCUUUCGCCACCUAGUGGCCAAACGAGAAACCUUCACCUUACCUUGCCUUCUGCACUCCUUGAGUGCAGCAGAAAGAACAAAAGCCGGUUUGGCCUUUCCUCUGCAAGAACGCAGCAAGCUGCCAGAGCUGGAAGGAACACAUGUUUAAUGCAUAUCUUGGAAGCUCCGCUGGGUGAACAAACAAAGCGCCACUUCCUACGUGCCUCAUAUCUGCUCACUACGAGCUUUGAAAGUAUUAGGAAUUUACAAGUCUUGCAUUUAGGAGAAGCCCCACAGCCUGGAGAGUCACCCUAAAUCCAUGUCCACAGGAAGCUGACGUGCAUCAUCAUGCCUCCCUGGGCCUAAUUCACCAGCCAUCUGGAUCUUGUCAGAAAUGAUGAUCAGAGGAGCGGUCCUGCCAUAGAGAGAGGCGCAGUUCAAUCAGAGUCAGACCAAAUACGGAAAUGAGUGAAUGAAACUGAAAAAGGCAAAGAAGCCAAGCUGUAUUAUUGAUCAACUAAAUCAGUGAUCUUUGAACUGCAGGGUCUUCAGCUUAGUUGUGGCCAUGGUUAUGCCAACUUUCCUAGCAAUCAUGACAUACCCAGGAGAAUAUGCCUUUAGUAAAGGUUUUCCUUCAGUGCUGUCUAGAAAAGAAAACAAACACCACUCAAAAUGGCUAGUGGAACAUUCCAUUCCUAUCUUGUUGGUGUGAAAUAUCACCGUGCUGCAAAGUGGCUUUGGUUAUUGCAUGUUUGAACAGUAGCUUUGUGUGUUGAUUGUCUCAGCCAGACAGAGAUGUCACUGAAGGAUGUUCCUGAGGGCAGAACCAUCACUAAAAACAUCUGUAUUGAGACAAGGGGGAAAGGAUCUCAAGACACACUUUUUGACCAUUCACUGUUUGCUAUGAUGCUAUUGAUACUAUCCAAGACAUGGGAAUCCUUAAGCGUCAUUAGUGGAUGAAUUCAUAGGAAAACUAUGGCAUAGACAGAUGGCAUCAUUUGGAUGUGAAAUAUACCCACCAGGUUCAUGCAUUUGCAUUUUACUCCUCAGUUGGUGGUGCUGUUUGGGGGUUGUGGAAACUUUGCCACUGUGCCCAUCUGAAAGGAGGUCUCUGGGGGGUAAGACCAGAAGUCGAUUCCACUCGUGGUUCCUGCCUGAGGGCUCAACUCUUCUUGACUCACCCACAGACAAGAAACUGUCCUGUAAGCCGUGUCCCCAAGGAUGGAGGUACUUCAGACACCAUGGCUUCCACAUCACUGGAGCCAAAUGAACGUCUCUACCCUGAAGAUGGUUCUGUCACACUUCUGUCACAGCGAUGAGAAAACUGAGAUGACAGAUAGAUAUGAUUGACAGAUGGUUUGCACUCUACAAAAGGAGUCACCUGUUUGAUGCAACACUGAUGAUCCUGUACGAUUUUGUGCUAACAAUAAUGCCUCCCAACACCACAUGCAUGUGGAAUCUCUAUUAAAAAAAUCAAACGUUAAAAUGGAGAGGAGGGUGGUUGGUGACCACUGAUAGGAAAAGUGAAGAAAUGGAGUUUACCAAAGAGGAACAGACUUACGUACAAUGAUAAUUCUAGAAAACUACAAUCACUAAUAUCGAAAACUUGUUAAUACAGUUGAUUUCAGGUGCUUUUACAGGUAUGUGGGGGAGGAGAGCAAGAGAGAGCAAGUGAGAGAGAAUGGAAAUUUAAGUACUAGCUAUAUUAACUUGAUUGUAUAUUAUAGUCAUUUUUCUAUGUAUGAAUAAACCAGUCUACUUAUACCUCAAUUAUAUACAGUAAAGAUCAAACUGAAAUAAAAUAAACACAUUCGGAAUUUAGAAGACCCGAUAUAUACACAUGUACAUAUACCUUUGGGAGGCUGUAGUGUGCCUGAGAGUUAGGACAUGGAUUCUAAGACAAUCCCUUUGUGUUCAGAUUAUGCCUUGUCUACUUUCUAGCUCAGCAACCUUAAGUGAAUUAAUCAACACCUCUGAAGUUUUUAUUCUUCUAUGAUAUUGGCCUAAUAGGGUUAUUUUGAGCACAAGUAAGUAAAUAUGUGUAGGCACACACACACACAAACACACAAAUAUGUGAGCACGCACACACGGACACACACGUGCACACAAACACACACAUGCACGCACACACAUUCACACAGACAUGCACGCAAACACAUGCACACACACACACAGAGUGUCCGUGGUUGCAAUAGUUUCUAAUAAAUUAAGUAACGUGAAAGAGCGGGCUAUUAGCAUAAAGGAAAUUCAGUAAAUGCGUGCUUCAUGUGUGUCAGUAAGAAAAAAAGAUACAGGAGACACCCUGGAAUCUUGUUCAUAUGUGUCAGUAAGGAAAAAAAGAUACAGGAGACACCCUGGAAUCUUGUUCAUAUGUGUCAGUAAGGAAAAAAGAUACAGGAGACACCCUGGAAUCUUGUUCAUAUGUGUCAGUAAGGAAAAAAGAUACAGGAGACACCCUGGAAUCUUGUUCAUAUGUGUCAGUAAGGAAAAAAGAUACAGGAGACACCCUGGAAUCUUGUUCAUAUGUGUCAGUAAGGAAAAAAAGAUACAGGAGACACCCUGGAAUCUUGCAGUGAAAAGUGCAUAAUUUUAGAGUCACUACAAAUAUUACAAAUAUUACAAGCCAUGGGAAGGCUCAGUCACUUAAUUAUUCAGGGGCCCACUUUUUCUCUAGGAAAAGAAAUCCAAAUCACACCCUGGAAAAACCGUCACCUUGGCUGAGGACACAUAGGGUGGCUCUUGGCUGGAUGAGGAUCAAAGCUCAGCUCCCGGGCUCCAAGCCCACAGGGAACAACAGGGACAGCAAAGGCAGGCAGGAUUGUCGUUAAUUUCUCAAGAGCUGCAGCAAUCAGGAGGUUCACUAGUGUGCUGAAGCCUGCCUUUCCUUUAGAGAAUUCGCUGUGUGUGCGCCCUUAAGGAUCCGAAACUCCUUCAGUGUCUUAGUGGGGAGACAGAACCCAUGACCUGUCUCUGAGGAAGAAGAAAAACCCACACAAGCUUCUUUAAUCACAACAAAGAGUGACUAAGCCAGCAGCAGCGUGGGCUACCCGUGGAGUCUCAAAAUAUUAGCGUUUGGACUUGGCCAUUCCUCUCCCCCUGCAGGACAUUUAAAGAUGCCACACACCAUCGCCAUCCGUAUUUAUAACGCUCCCAGCAGGGAGCCCGAUUCUGAAUGGCAAACUGAAGGGACUCCCGGCCCUCUCUGAGGUCCUGAGACAUGGGCAGAAGAGGGCAGGAGGACCUGUCCAUCCCCUACUGGAGACCCAGUAACGUGGCCAGACUGGGAGCUGAGGACCAGGGAGAGGCUUCCGUAAUUCUUCAACACCAGGCUGGGGACUACGUGUGUCGUUUCUCAUCCUCGUCUUGACCUGGCUGGAGUUUCAGGCUCUGAAGUAAUUCCUUUUUCUGUGUGCUCGGCACGUUUCAGACCGCAGGAUGGUGAAGAUGCCAGAGCUGCCAAGAAGAGCCGCACGUAGGGGCUGGAACCAGAUUGAGAGAGAGGUGUAUGACGCGGGCACCGAAGUUGGAGAUGAAGCCAUCCUAGCCGGUUGGCACCAAAGCCUCAGAUACCAGACAGUGGACUUGCAGGAUCUGAAGAUUGCCCUGCUGGAUCUCGGUCUUGCUUUGGUCCGGUAUUUCCUCACUGUGCCCCAAUUCCUCCUUUUUGUAAUGGCAAUGGGCAUUCUGUGACGCUGUAUGUUGGAAGUGUGUAUUUGUUGUUGUUGUAUGGGGCUAUGGUAUAAGAUUUCACAGAGUCUCAGAAGACAUUCUGGACUUUGAAUGUCUCAGCCAUGUUGAGACUAAGGAAGUCUUUGGGGACCUUUGCAUUCUGCGUCGUGAAAUGGCCACAAGCUUAUGGGCUUGGAUGAGAGACGGCCUCCAAAGGCCAAUGUGUCUGCUGCAUACUUACUCUUCCGCUGAUGGCUCUGUCUGGGGAGAUUGUGGAACUUUCAGGACGUGGGGUCUUCCUGGAGGAAGCGGGCUUUGAGAGGCUAUAGCCUGGCUUGUAGUCCACCUCUGCCUUUGCACACGCUUAGAGAUGUGAGCUGUCAGCGGCUUGCUCUCGCCGCCUGCUUCCGUGCCUCCCCCGCCAUGAUGGACCCUCUCUUUGGAACUGUAAGCCAAAAUAAACUCUUCCUUCCUUAAGUUGCUUUUGGUCGUGGUGUUUUGCCACAGCCACAAAGGCCGUUAAUUUGGGUUUGAUCCCAGCACCUUUGAAAGCGGGAUGUGAUGACACACGCCUCUAACCCUAGCAUUUUGGGUAGGCAGGCAAGAGAAUCAGAAGUUCAAGGCUGUUGUCAACCUAGAAUGCCAAGUAACCUGUGACUGCCUACGUGAUCCUAACAACGUUUCCUCUUCAGUCCAUUUCCCACACUACUACUAAGCUCUCUAGGGGAUGCUGCGGAUGCUAAACAGAAAGGGCGUGGCUCCGCAGCUCCGGAGGGACCUGGAGCUCUGUUAGCCAAUAAGCAGCCACGAGUGAUAAAUGGGAGCUCGCAAGCCAGCCUAGGCUUCCUGGGGUGGGGAGUGAAACGCUGGUUGGUUUCCAGAACCUAGGUAGGGUCCUCAGUUCUGAGGGUGGGGAGGCGUUCCAGAUGCGGGCACAGAGGGAUGAGGAGUGUGCCCCUGAGGUGAGACAGUGCUUGGAACUGUCUUGAGUGCCAGACCUGUGUUCUGUAGGAUUUGAUUCAAGGGGGCGUUUGAAUCAAAUGCAUAACAGGAGAGUCUGUCAUAUGUAUUUGAUGUUUUCCUUCCUAAGUCAGGUCUUCAGAAUCCUGGGGAACUGGCCUCAGAGACCAUUGUCUCCGGACUGCUAUUCCAAUAAAAAUGUUCCGUGCCACAUUACAAAA
Mesocricetus auratus (golden hamster) is the source of this 5056-nucleotide long non-coding RNA. RefSeq lists it as uncharacterized. The record is from RefSeq and is a predicted model, not a curated record. The transcript is spliced from 2 exons. NCBI's taxonomy places the organism in Eukaryota, Metazoa, Chordata, Mammalia, Rodentia, Cricetidae.